GACGAACGCUGGCGGCGUGCCUAAUACAUGCAAGUUGAGCGAUGAAGAUUGGUGCUUGCACCAAUUUGAAGAGCAGCGAACGGGUGAGUAACGCGUGGGGAAUCUGCCUUUGAGCGGGGGACAACAUUUGGAAACGAAUGCUAAUACCGCAUAAUAACUUUAAACAUAAGUUUUAAGUUUGAAAGAUGCAAUUGCAUCACUCAAAGAUGAUCCCGCGUUGUAUUAGCUAGUUGGUGAGGUAAAGGCUCACCAAGGCGAUGAUACAUAGCCGACCUGAGAGGGUGAUAGGCCAAAUUGGGACUGAGACACGGCCCAAACUCCUACGGGAGGCAGCAGUAGGGAAUCUUCGGCAAUGGACGAAAGUCUGACCGAGCAACGCCGCGGGAGUGAAGAAGGUUGUCGGAUCGUAAAACUCUGUUGGUAGGGAAGAACGUUGGUGAGAGUGGAAAGCUCAUCAAGUGACGGUAACUACCCAGAAAGGGACGGCUAACUACGUG
Molecule: ribosomal RNA, 497 nt
Filed under: uncultured bacterium
Lineage: Bacteria
Description: partial 16S ribosomal RNA
Rfam family: Bacterial small subunit ribosomal RNA
Source: RNAcentral